GAGUUUGAUCCUGGCUCAGGAUGAACGCUAGCGGCAGGCUUAACACAUGCAAGUCGAGGGGUAACAUAGGAAGCUUGCUUUCUGAUGACGACCGGCGCACGGGUGCGUAACGCGUAUACAAUCUACCUUAUACUGGGGUAUAGCCUUUAGAAAUGAAGAUUAAUCCCCCAUAGUCUCUUAGAGUGGCAUCGUUUUAGGAGUAAAGGUUACGGUAUAAGAUGAGUAUGCGUUCUAUUAGUUUGUUGGUGUGGUAACGGCACACCAAGACUACGAUAGAUAGGGGCCCUGAGAGGGGGAUCCCCCACACUGGUACUGAGACACGGACCAGACUCCUACGGGAGGCAGCAGUGAGGAAUAUUGGACAAUGGAGGCAACUCUGAUCCAGCCAUGCCGCGUGCAGGAAGACUGCCCUAUGGGUUGUAAACUGCUUUUAUACAGGAAGAAAUGUACCUACGUGUAGGUAUU
This 465-nucleotide ribosomal RNA is filed under the name uncultured Bacteroidota bacterium. RNAcentral describes it as "bacterial SSU rRNA". It matches the Rfam family "Bacterial small subunit ribosomal RNA", at positions 9 to 469 of the family's 1533-position model. Lineage: Bacteria; Pseudomonadati; Bacteroidota. The record is from RNAcentral.